AUACCCUGUUAUUCUUUACAUUAAAAGGUAAUAUCUUUGAGAGAAACCUUUGUCCUUUGGCGGCCCUCCCCCUUUUCAGAGGAACUUGUUGUUUAAUCGAUAAACCGCGUUAAUUUUCACUUUUUUUUAGUUUUUAUACCGCCGUCUAAAGAUCACAUUUUAAACUUUUUUCUUAAAAACAAAAGUUUAUAAGUCAGGUCAAGGUGAAGCAAACAAAAAAGAAAUUCAUGAGUUACUUAUUUUUUCUAAUAAUGGAUUUAGAUCUAAAGCCUUAAUGAAAUAGGAUUUGACAGUAAUGUUAUUUUAAAAUAAUAAUAUGAAACAGCAAAGAGGGUGCACAUAUCGCCCGUCGCCCUCUUCUAAAGAUGAGAUAAGUCGUAA
This 381-nucleotide ribosomal RNA is filed under the name Macrothele yani. RNAcentral's name for it is "partial small subunit ribosomal RNA". The record is from RNAcentral. Lineage: Eukaryota; Metazoa; Arthropoda; Arachnida; Araneae; Macrothelidae.